This 668-nucleotide ribosomal RNA is filed under the name uncultured fungus. Its description in RNAcentral is "eukaryotic LSU rRNA". It matches the Rfam family "Eukaryotic large subunit ribosomal RNA", at positions 24 to 664 of the family's 3401-position model. Lineage: Eukaryota; Fungi. The record is from RNAcentral.
CCCGCUGAACUUAAGCAUAUCAAUAAGCGGAGGAAAAGAAACUAACAAGGAUUCCCCUAGUAACUGCGAGUGAAGCGGGAAAAGCUCAAAUUUAAAAUCUGGCGGUCCUUGUGGCCGUCCGAGUUGUAAUUUAGAGAAGUGUUAUCCGUGCUGGACCGUGUACAAGUCUCCUGGAAUGGAACGUCGUAGAGGGUGAGAAUCCCGUCUUUGACACGGACUGCCAGUGCAUUGUGAUGCGCUCUCGACGAGUCGAGUUGUUUGGGAAUGCAGCUCAAAUAGGGUGGUAAAUUCCAUCUAAAGCUAAAUACAGGCGAGAGACCGAUAGCGAACAAGUACCGUGAGGGAAAGAUGAAAAGAACUUUGGAAAGAGAGUUAAACAGUACGUGAAAUUGCUGAAAGGGAAACGCUUGAUGUCAGUCGCGUCGUCCGGGGAUCAGCCUUGCUCUUUUGCUCGGUGUAUUUCCUGGUCGACGGGUCAGCAUCGGUUUUGACCGUCGGAAAAUGGCUCGAGGAAUGUGGCACCCUUCGGGGUGUGUUAUAGACUCGGGUCGAAUACGGCGAUUGGGACCGAGGAACUCAGCACGACCUUAGGGUUCGGGGCUUCGGCCCACGUUAACGUGCUUAGGAUGCUGGCAUAAUGGCCUUAAGCGACCCGUCUUGAAACACGG